Molecule: long non-coding RNA, 731 nt
Filed under: Equus asinus (donkey)
Lineage: Eukaryota; Metazoa; Chordata; Mammalia; Perissodactyla; Equidae
Description: lncRNA (ENSEASG00005028859.1)
Source: RNAcentral
CUAAGACAAGCACGUCCCGCCACCGUCUCAGAGCGUCAUCUGAGUCCCCCGGUGUGCGUUGCAGGCGUCCAGCGUGGAUUUGAGCCAGGCAGAAUUCACCAGCCAGCCGGGUGGCAGACUCCCUCGUUGGUCUGCAGGAGCAGUCAGUCCAUCACCAAGUGGACUUGCCACAGCUGGAGUUUGUGGUGCUUAUAACACGGGUGGCCAACACUCCCUUGGCACAGCUCCCCCAGGAUGGGACCAGAUCAAAGCAGCCAGACUGCUGGUGAAAUGCCAUCUGCAGCAGCUCAGAACAUUUCUUCCUCGUCUUCGAGAGGAUGAAAGGAGGCAGAAUGACACGGUGCCGAGCCCAGGCUCUUGGAAUCAGAUGUGGUUCGGCUGCCAGCUUUGAGUGGAAACUAGCCAAACGAUAAAAAUUUACACUUGGAGUGGUUUGACCCAGGGAGAUGGUCUGUCAUCAGGACUGGAACUUCACUUCCAGGCAGCAGUAAUGGCUAACAUUUACUGAGCAGUCACUAUGAGCCUGGCACUGCUGUAAGCACUUCCCAUGCUUUAACCCAUUUAAUGCCCUUUACAGGGAAAAACGGAGCCACAGAGGGAUAAAGUGGUUUGCCCAAGCCGUGAAGCAGUCGUACCAGCAAAUAAAGCAUCCAAUUCCAGAAAUGAAGCCUACUGACUGCACAGUGUCAAGCUCCCCCUGCCCAAAUUAUUCACCGAUCAGUACAAACUCA